UUAGGGUUAGAGUUAGGGUUUAAGGUUAGGGGAGAUGAAUGUUUUUUUCGGUAUUCAAUGAUUAUUUUUCACUUUUAUGUUCAAUUUAUCUGCAAUUUUCUUUUUGUAUUACAUGGAUGACCCCGCUCCAUUUACAAGUAGCGCGCGUCCGUGCGCUUCGUUGUUUACCUCUGUGUUAAAAUCAACUAGUAGCGCACAUCCGCGCGUCUCGUCGUUUGCCAUGUGUGCUAAAUUCGACUACUUACAACUAACGCUCGCACGCGCAAAUUUGUGACAUGCGCAUUCUCAGAACUCAGGUCCACACUUCUGUAGUACCCAAAUUUUUUACAAACAAGAUGAAGUUUUCUAAUUUCGGUAUCAAAACAAACAAAUGUUCAAUAAUAAU
Long non-coding RNA from Octopus sinensis (East Asian common octopus), 385 nucleotides. RefSeq lists it as uncharacterized. NCBI's taxonomy places the organism in Eukaryota, Metazoa, Mollusca, Cephalopoda, Octopoda, Octopodidae. The transcript has 3 exons. The record is from RefSeq and is a predicted model, not a curated record.